GGACCGACCACCGGUGUACCGGUUGUUCCGCCAGGAGCACCGCCGGGUAGCCGCGUCGGGCAAGGAUAAGUGCUGAAAGCAUCUAAGCACGAAGCCCCCCUCAAGAUAAGAUCUCCACAUAAGGGUCGUUAGAGACGAUGACGUAGAUAGGUCGCAGGUGCAGAGGCGGUAACGUCUAUAGCCGAGCGAUACUAAUAACCCAAACCCUUUCC
This 212-nucleotide ribosomal RNA is filed under the name Bacteroidales bacterium. RNAcentral describes it as "partial 23S ribosomal RNA". It matches the Rfam family "Bacterial large subunit ribosomal RNA", at positions 2699 to 2925 of the family's 2925-position model. The record is from RNAcentral. Lineage: Bacteria; Pseudomonadati; Bacteroidota; Bacteroidia; Bacteroidales.